AAAAAAGUAAAAAAAAA
Molecule: small RNA, 17 nt
Filed under: Arabidopsis thaliana (thale cress)
Lineage: Eukaryota; Viridiplantae; Streptophyta; Magnoliopsida; Brassicales; Brassicaceae
Description: ATSL211120
Source: RNAcentral